CAGCUUUGUUUUCCUCCGGUGGUCAACGCAGUAACCGAUUAAGUUGACCAUCCAACGGUGACGAACCCGUGAAAGAAUCUCGAUCUCAUUGUCUACCUGACUCACGUUGUUAUUGUUAUUACCAACGGUAGUGGUGAUUGUUGUUCUCUUGACGGCGGCGAGAAGCUUUCCGUCGUCGAGAACUGCUUUGUAAACUCUGCCGUGACUUCCUUUUCCGAGG
This is a long non-coding RNA of Arabidopsis thaliana (thale cress), 220 nucleotides long. RefSeq annotates it as other RNA. The record is from RefSeq. Lineage: Eukaryota; Viridiplantae; Streptophyta; Magnoliopsida; Brassicales; Brassicaceae. The transcript has a single exon.